Molecule: ribosomal RNA, 253 nt
Filed under: uncultured bacterium
Lineage: Bacteria
Description: partial 16S ribosomal RNA
Rfam family: Bacterial small subunit ribosomal RNA
Source: RNAcentral
UACGUAGGUGGCAAGCGUUGUCCGGAUUUACUGGGUGUAAAGGGCGUGUAGCCGGGCUGACAAGUCAGAUGUGAAAUUCCGGGGCUCAACCCCGGACCUGCAUUUGAAACUGUUGGUCUUGAGUAUCGGAGGGGCAGGCGGAAUUCCUAGUGUAGCGGUGAAAUGCGUAGAUAUUAGGAGGAACACCAGUGGCGAAGGCGGCCUGCUGGACGACAACUGACGGUGAGGCGCGAAAGCGUGGGGAGCAAACAGG